RNAcentral lists this transfer RNA (63 nucleotides) under Pseudotibiozus cerasopus. RNAcentral's name for it is "tRNA-Trp". The record is from RNAcentral. Lineage: Eukaryota; Metazoa; Arthropoda; Diplopoda; Spirostreptida; Spirostreptidae.
AAAGCUUUAAGUUAUCUAAACUAUUAACCUUCAAAGUUAAAAAUAAAUUAUAUUUAAGCUUUA